RNAcentral lists this small RNA (363 nucleotides) under Neobacillus sp. PS3-12. Its description in RNAcentral is "transfer-messenger RNA". It matches the Rfam family "transfer-messenger RNA". Rfam says of the family: Bacterial tmRNA, also known as 10Sa RNA or SsrA, is named for its dual tRNA and mRNA-like properties. Its role is to liberate the mRNA from a stalled ribosome. Lineage: Bacteria; Bacillati; Bacillota; Bacilli; Caryophanales; Bacillaceae. The record is from RNAcentral.
GGGAAUGUCUUGGUAUCGACAGGGAUAGUUUGAGCUUAUAUGGCGAGCCGAGUUGACGAUCUCGUACAAACGUUAAAGCCUAUAACUGGCAAACAACAAAACAACUUCGCUUUCGCUGCUUAAUAGCAGACGUUAGCGGUUCCACCCUCCAUCGUCCAUGUGGUAGGGGAAGGGACUCAUUCUAAGUGGACUACGCCGAAUUCCUUUCGUCUGUAGGAUGAAGGAAGAGAAUAAUCAGACUAGCCGCUUCCAUGCCUGUCAGUAAGCUAAAGAAGUAGGCGAAAUUAAUUUUACUGACUACGCUGGUAGAUGUAUAAGUGCCAAUAUCUUUGCACACGGGUUCAACUCCCGUCAUUUCCACUA